CUCUAUCCAUCUCCAUGGCAGUUCCGCAGGUCGCCUGGUGGGGCAGUGCAGUCCUUCUCAAUAUCCUUUGUCUUCGGCAUGGCCUCUGGUCUCACAAAUAAGAGCAUAUUUGCAGUCGUGCUUGAAGCUUGCCGCCAAGAUAACAACUUCCAGGAAAACAAUGAUAACGAUGUCAGCAUCUCCAUCGGAGGUAAAACCUCGGCGAAAUCUCCUGCUGGUUUCUAUGAUGGCAAGAGUGGUAUUUUCAACAUCUUGCUCCUAGUUAGUCACGACAUCAUGCAAAUGUGGGUGGAGUAUGAUGCCGCGGCCACACGGAUCAACGUGGCCUUGGCUCCCCUCGAGGUAGUUAAACCGUCGAGGCCAUUGCUAUCACUUUCCCACAACAUCUCAACAGUGCUGGGGGAUCCAGCAUAUAUUGGCUUCUCGGCUUCAACUAGUAUAAUCAGCUUGAGAUAUAGUGUGCUUGGCUGGAGCUUUGGUAUGAACCGUCCUGCUCCAAGCAUAGACAUCGCCAAGUUGCCGAAGUUGCCUCGGGUUGACCCAAAAGCUCAAUCCAAACUGUUGAAGAUCAUACUGCCGAUAGCCAUGGUCACACUUGUCCUGCUUGUGGGAACAACAGUUAUUCUAUUUGUGAGGAGGAGAAUAAGGUACGCUGAACUAUAUGAAGAUUGGGAGCAUGAGUUUGGGCCACACCGCUUCUCCUACAAGGAUCUGUUCCUAGCUACAGAAGGAUUUCAUAAUAAGAAUCUGCUUGGCCGUGGAGGAUUCGGGAAGGUGUAUAAAAGUGUGCUUCCAGUCUCUAAGCUGCAGGUUGCUGUGAAGAGGGUGUCCCACGAGUCGAAGCAAGGAAUCAAGGAGUUCAUCGCCGAGGUUGUCAGCAUAGGCCGCCUCCGACACCGCAACCUUGUCCAGUUGCUCGGUUAUUGCAGGAGGAAAGAUGAACUCUCGUUGGUGUAUGAAUAUAUGCCAAACGGUAGUCUUGAAAAGUAUUUGUAUGUUGAAGCAGACAAGACCACACUGGAUUGGGCGCAGAGGCUUCAGAUCAUCAAAGGUGUUGCAUCUGCCAUAUUCUACCUCCAUGAGAAAUGGGAGAAAGUUGUCAUCCACCGAGACAUCAAAGCAAGCAAUGUUCUUCUUAACGAUGAAAUGAAUGGACAUCUAGGUGACUUUGGCCUUGCAAGAUUGUAUGACCGUGGCACCAACCUACAAACAACACGUGUGGCUGGUACCUUUGGAUAUAUAGCCCCAGAGCUAGCACGCACCGGUAAAGCAUCCCCUCUAACAGAUGUGUACGCAUUUGGCAUUUUCGUUCUUGAGGUAACCUGUGGGAAAAGGCCAAUCAACAAUUGUUCACAGGAUGGUCCAAAGCUGCUAGACGACUGGGUUGUCGAGCAUUGGCAGAGAGGAUCACUAACAGACACAACGGACAGGAGGAUACAAGGAGAGUAUGAUGCUGAUGAGGUACAUCUCGUGUUACAGCUAGGACUGUUGUGUGCACAUCCAUUUUGCAGCACAAGGCCCAGCAUGCGGCAGGUCAUGCAAUACCUUGACGGUGACAUGCCGCUCCCCGAGCUGCCACCCACAAACUUAAGUUAUAGCAUGUUGGCCCUAACGCAGAAUGAAGGUUUCGAUCAAUACACGGCAUUGCCUUGCACAGUCGGCAGCAAUGGCAUGACGUUUAGCCUCUUCAGUGGAAGAUGGUCCACUUAG
Molecule: ribosomal RNA, 1710 nt
Filed under: Triticum aestivum (bread wheat)
Lineage: Eukaryota; Viridiplantae; Streptophyta; Magnoliopsida; Poales; Poaceae
Description: partial small subunit ribosomal RNA
Source: RNAcentral